Amphibalanus amphitrite is the source of this 611-nucleotide long non-coding RNA. RefSeq lists it as uncharacterized. The transcript has 5 exons. NCBI's taxonomy places the organism in Eukaryota, Metazoa, Arthropoda, Thecostraca, Balanomorpha, Balanidae. The record is from RefSeq and is a predicted model, not a curated record.
GGGUUUCCGUCGUGAACGUGACUGACGGAAUGCGUCUUUGGUUACAGGACCGGACAAACCAUGUUACCAUGAAAGCUACACAGAGCUGCGACUGUCCGGAGACGAUCUGCAAGCCUUAUCAUAGCAGAUGUUUUCCCCGUCCCUAGGAAGUACCUACGACCUCUGCCGAUGGCCUCCGACCAGUCACGGAAAUUCAUGAUGCCGGUGCGUUUCCGUCGGUGACUCCCACGGGCCGCACUUAUGUGUACAACGACCAGCGCACAGGUCACGGAGUACGAAAUGGGCGCGGUGACGGGAAUGCAAUGCUGCCGGAUACGCAGUGAUAGGAGAGAACCUGUCACUAGCUCAACGGCAACAGGACGCUCCCAGACACUGGCGAGAGUCAUCUGGGACGCGCCGACGCACUGCAGUUUCAUCGUGGUGUCUCCGGCUGGACGUCAUAGGCAGGUCCCGUGACCCGUGAUAGACACGGUGUUGAUAAGGGUGUUGGAAUGGGACGGGUACGAUCACGACGGGGUGUGGAUUAGGGUGUGUCGAUAGUCGCAGAUUCGCGUUAGACAAAGAUAUAAAUUGGCGCGAGCAUGCCAAAACACUAGCCCUGCAGUUGGUUU